This 3550-nucleotide long non-coding RNA is filed under the name Mus musculus (house mouse). RNAcentral's name for it is "long non-coding RNA chr13:30098492-30102042". Lineage: Eukaryota; Metazoa; Chordata; Mammalia; Rodentia; Muridae. The record is from RNAcentral.
GGUACAGUCCGUCACGGCAGAGAAGGCAGAGCACGUUCAAUGGUAUCCGUGGCUGUGGUGGUGGGAACACAAGGCUGCUUGGUUACAUCCCAGGAAGCAGAGAGCCUAUGAGGAAGAUGGUCCAGUCUAUAACCUACCUUAGUGCUGGUUGCUGGGUGACUCAUUUCCUCCAAUUGAACUCCACUUCUAAAGCUUCCACAAGCUUCCGAAGACAGCACUGCCAGCAAAAACCAAAGUGUUCAAUCACAUGAGCCCGUGAGCAGCGUUUCCUAUCAAAGCAAAAUACUCAGCCGGGCGUGGUGGCACAUGCCUUUAAUCCCAGCACUCGGGAGGCAGAGGCAGGCAGAUUUCUGAGUUUGAGGCCAGCCUGGUCUACAAAGUGAGUUUCCCGACAGCCAGGGCUAUACAGAGAAACCCUGUCUCGAAAAACCAAAAAAACAAACAAAAACAAAAAGACAAAAAAAAAAAAAAAUAACACUCUUCAAAGUCAAGGUUCUUUUAGGACCUCAGAGGCACAGCCAAACUUUCCUCUCUUUUUCUCUCUCUGUCUCUGUCUCUGUCUCUGUCUCUGUCUCUGUCUCUCUACACACACACACACACACACACACACACACACACACACACACCUCCCUACAGCAAUGGCUCCUCAUCACUAUGGUGACUUUAGGUCCAUCCCCCUCUACAUAUCACACAGUCCACUCAUCCCUAAGUUAUAGAACUGUACAUUUCUAACUGCCUGUGUUCCUUUACCUUUUUUUAAAAUAAUUUUUUCUUUGCUUUAUUACAGAAGAUGCUUCCAUCUUGAUCCAUCUCAACUCAACAAGUGCUACCCGAGGCUCUACUAUAUCCCGACAUUAUUCUUCACACCAUUCCCUCUCUCUUCUUCCGUCUUUAGUCUCCCAUUCUCUUUUCAGAUUUCCUCUGCAGAGAGAGUGACAGCCCUCAAGUACACUCAUAUACUUGAAACAGAAUUCUCCUGCUGAAGAAUGUAUUUCAAAAUAAAUGUUUUCAUUUGAUGUGAAGGGAUGCCAGUUGGGGCCAGGGUGCGUAGAUCAGACUCUGUCUGCAGACAAUAUGCUCUACACUGUAAUUUCAUAGUGUGGGCUCUUUAUUCUCAGUUGAACUUUUUGUUCCUAGCUUUUAAAGACAUACCUUCAAAUACCUUUUAGAACAGCUAGGUCAGGUUGUUCUACCAACUUUUAUGUUUUGUUUUGUUUUGGUUUGUUUUGUUUUGGUUUUUAUGGAGAAGAGAGCAGGAAGAUUGUAAGAGCGGAGGUUGGGAGAACAGAGUGCAGCUGUGGGGACAUUCAAGAGAACUGUAAUCCUGAACUCACAGCAGCUGUGCCUGCCUGCACAAGAGCAAGCCAGUCAGUUUCAGCAGGGAGCAGGAGGGCUCCUGAGGUCCACCCCUAGCGGAGAAGCUAUUACAGAUGGUGGAUGAUUCGAGAGGCUAUUUUCUUGAAGUGUAAAGCUCCUGGUAGGUUGACAAUGCUCCAAUGGCUGCCCAAAACCUAUGGCUGUAUGGGAAGCACACAUCAGACUGGGUGGGUUAUUUAUAAAAACAAAAUGUCUGGACAUAGUAGCACAUACUUUUAAAUCUAGCACCCAGGAGACAGAAAGAGCUAGAUCUCUGAAUUUGGGGACGGACAGGUCUAUAUAGAGAGACUGUAACUCAAAAAAGAAAAAACCAUGAGGUUAAGAGGAGGGGAGUGAGGAAUCUGAGAAAGGCUAGGAGAAAGAAUGGGAGGUGAAUACAGAAAAAAUAUAUUAAAUGUAUUUAUUAAAUUCUCAAAUAAUAAAUAAAGAUAUUUACGAAACCUUGCUGGGGGGGGGCGUGGUGGUGGUGGCAAACACCUUUAACUCCAGCACUGAGAGGCCAAGGCAGGCAGAUCUUUGAGUUCCAGGACAGUCUGGUCUAUAUAAGUGAGUUCCAGGAGAGCUAGGGCUAUACAGAGAAACCCUGUCUCUAAAAAUCAAAACAUAAACAAAUACAAAACAAAACAAAAACCAAACAACUCCCUCAACCAAACCAAACCAAACCAAACCAAACCAAACAACCCAAACAUUUAUGGUCUCUACUUGGUUUCCAAAGGUGGUGAAAUCCAGCCAGAACAGGUGGAUGCCUCACGAGGAGUCACUCCUGCCCAAACAUGUUAUCUACACUCCAAUGUCCUUAAGUGGCAGUAAUAAUCCCGCAGUCUAGAAGAAAACAGGUUAAUUAGAUGCAGGUAAAACUAUUUACGUUGCUAGGUAACUAAAGAAAGUCAUGAUUAUUAAGUAGCUUUUUAUAUAAACAGAAUCACUGGGAAGACAAGGAUCUACAAAUCAUACAGUUGUAGAAAUACUCUAAAUUUUAUUGUCUCCAUAUUUAUAUCACAAGUGUCACUCACACACUCAUUUAUAAAUCAUUAGUUAAGCACCUUCUAUGUGACAUGUACUGUGCUCUGAGCUGAAGAACCAACAAUACAGUGAUAUUUCAAUCCCACAGCACUACAUAGUCACACACAAAACACAUUCUUUUGUCAUUGAUAAAAUGGUUUACCUUUCUAUGAGGACUAAUCUUGGUUGUCAACUUGACUAUGUCUUGAAGCAACUGAAAUCCAAGCAACUGGGUAUACCAGUAAGUGAUUUUCUUGCCUGGAUCUUUGAGUUAUGAAGAAUCACCCUAAAUCUGAGCUUUCCCGUGUGCUGGCAGCCCACAUUUAAGGGCAGGGACAAGGGAGCUUUUGCUUUGUUGCCUGUUUGUCCUGACUUUCAGUGACAAGGUCGGUCAUAUACCCUGCUGAUGAGGCAUUUUUUGGCUGGUAUUAGAACCUCGUUCAUUGGGAGCUCCAACAUAGACAAAGACCAACUGAGACAUCCAACCUCAUGUAUGGAACAAUUAUGAGAUCCUUGGUCUUUCCUUUGAGAGACAGAUAUUGUUGGACAAGUCGGACCACAGUCUAUAAGCCACCACUCUAAUAAAUCCCCUUUUAUUAUAUAAAUAUUCAAACCAUCAGUUCCUUUCUGAGAACCCAACUAAUAUACCUUCCAGUCAUAGGAAUUAUUAAUUUACUUUUACAAUGUUUAUCUUUUGAGAGCCUACUAUGUCCUAGGCACUGGUGUAGGCACAAUGUUUUUAUGCACUGUAUACAAAUUAUCCUUGUAUUAUUCAAAUGCGGAUUUCUCUGCUCCCAUAUCAUGUGGCAAUCUGGACAUGGCAUUGUAAUGAUUAUUCUAUGUAUCUCUUGUUUCAAGUUUAUGUAAAUAUUGUUCCCCAUUUAUUCUCUGACUUGUCAAUAAAAGCUGAUCAGCCAGUGGCUUGGCAGAAAAGAGAAUAGGGCUGGACUUCCCAUCCCAGCCAGGAGAGGAGUAGAGAGAAGAAGAGAGGGCUCACCAUGAGAAAGGUCGAGAGGAGAAACCAUGGAAAAACAUCUGGAGCUGAGAGAGUCAGAUCAUUAUUAAAAUGCAAGUAUCUUGGGGAUUUUGGCUGGGAGGUAGCCAGAUUAUCUCACAGGAUUAGAAUAGAUCAAUGACUGCCCAGUUAUUCUGCCAUAAAGCUUGAUUAAAU